RNAcentral lists this long non-coding RNA (3637 nucleotides) under Canis lupus familiaris (dog). Its description in RNAcentral is "lncRNA (ENSCAFG00845020702.1)". Lineage: Eukaryota; Metazoa; Chordata; Mammalia; Carnivora; Canidae. The record is from RNAcentral.
AUGGUAAGCUGGCUCUUUCUAACUGUGCUAGAGGGCUUACAGAAAGAAAAUAAUAGCUUGAGAUUUAAAAUUCACAGCUUUAGGGCAGCCCGGGUGGCUCAGCGGUUUGGUGCUGCCUUCAGCCCAGGGCCUGAUCCUGGAGACCCAGGAUCGAGUCCCACGUCAAGCUCCCUGCGUGGAGCCUGCUUCUCCCUCUGCCUGGGUCUCUGCCUCUCUCUCUCUCUGUGUCUCUCAAGAAUAAAUAAAUAAAAUCUUAAAAAAAACUAAAAUAAAAUUCACAGCUAUAGAUGUGGUAAAAGAAAAAUCCAGGGAGUUUCUAUGACUGAUCUAUAAGGAUCUUAUAAAGGGGUUGACAUAGUUGGAAAUCACACACACAGGUUUGAUCUUGCAAAUUGGUAAAAGGCAUUGUAGGUAGAAUUCACAGACCUGCCAGAUCUCUUUAAAAUUUUUAUUUAUUUAUUUAUUUGAGAGAGAGUGAGAGAGCGCAUGUGCAAACAGAGGGAGAAGAAGACUCUCUGUUGAGCAGAAAGCCCGACAUGGGACUCAAUCCCAGGACCCUGAAAUCAUGACCUGAGCCUAAGGCAGAUACUUAACCUACUGAGCUAUCCAGGCACCCCAUCGGAUCUUAAUGAAUAUGAGAACCCUGAUUACAAAAUAGAAGACAUUUGAAAAAUAGUAACUUUGGAGAUAAUUUAGACAACUUUAAGGAUAUUGAACCCGUAAACUCCACUGGUUUUCUUGCUAGCAGAAGCAAUCCUGUGAGAUGAAGCUGUUCUGACCUCACCAAAGAUAGUUACCUUGCUAGGGGGUGCCGAUUUUCCUCAAUGUCUUUAGACAAUUGGAAUCACACUCUAGCAUAUCCCAGGGAACCAAUUGCAAAGUCAAAUAUAGGGGAAUAAAAAUUUCAAGGUUUUACUAAUUUAUGCAACAAAAGACUUGGAGGAAUAUAUGGAGGAAUGAACUCUGGAGGUGCUAGCUCAGAGAGGGAAGUGCAUAAUUUUAGAUUGAAUUGAAUUUUUUUAAUAGGUCCUCUUACCAGAUUUUGGGUUAAAUAUUCUGGUUUGAGCAGCUGGGAAUAUUUCUAACCGUUUACUUGGUUGAUUAAAAUAUGACCUCUACAGUGACAUGCACUAAAUGAAAUAGACCAGAAACUCGUUGGCAUAAUAUAGAGGAAGAAAAUGAAUUUAAUAAAUUAGAGAAUUGGAAUAUAGGAAUGGUUUUAUCAUGCAUGUCCUGUUCUCCAUCCCCAAAACUAUUUUCUUCUGUGAAGGCCCAGAGGACACUUAUAGCACUGAGCUGAAAAAUACAUUGGGAACACAGGAUCAGGAUUUUUGAGAGGUGCUUUAGAGGCUGUCUGUAGACUAUGGAUGAAGGCAGGAGUAUCUUUGAUUCCUUAGUCUCAGUUGGAAUGCCGGGAUCCUGGAGUGGCAGAGGUCAGAUAGCAGCAUAGCAAUGUUAAGGGGCUGUCAGGCAGGAGUGUUAAUCAGAUUAGAUGAUGUUUGUUAAUGGUAAAGUGACCGAUGACAGAGGUAGUGGGCUAGUCCACUAAAGAACUCAUUCAUCUGAAUAAUCAUAAUCUUAGUAAGAUCUAGUCCUCAUAUAAAAAGACCUUAUUUGACAUAUCAUGGUGGAUUUCCAGAGCUGAGUCUACUGAUAACUCAGUAAGAGAGCUCUUGACUGAAAUGGAGACUUUUCAUUUUUCCUGAAAAAGGAUCUUUGCUCUUCGUAUUUAAUGUUGAAUAUUAUGAAUGAUAUUAUGUUUGUCCAUUAGGUAUCUUUUUUUAAGAUUAUUUAUUUAUUUAUUCAUGAGAGGCAGAGAGAGAGAGAGAGGCAGAGACACAGGCAGAGGGAGAAGCAGGCUCCGUGCAGGGAGCCCAAUGUGGGACUCCAUCCUGGGACUCUGGGAUCAUGCCCUGAGCUGAAGGCAGAUGCUAAGCCACUGAGCCACCCAGGGAUCCCCCGGUAUCUUUCAUUUUGUAUCACUUCUAGUAUGUUCUGAUCUUGAGGUAAGGAACUUAGGUUAUUCCCAUGGAUACCUUUAUUAUUAACCCAACAGUAUGUAAUUGUUAGUGCUUCAGGAUCAUAGCCUAAGAGAUGUCUGUCUUCCUGGGAGGUCUGGAACAGUAUGUCAAUGAAAGUAAUGUUUGAUAUGAGUAGGAGUUGACCGGGCAGGUGAUAUGGAAAAGGACAGAUAUGGCAAAAGGAAACACAUACACGAAGACUCGACUAUCAUGUGUGGAGAACUAUGAAUACAUAUCUGUGGGAAGGCACAUAUAAUGUAUUUAAAGUAGUGAAAGAGAUUAACCUGGAAAUGAGGAGAGGGAACAGGUCAUUUUGUUCCUCAACUAAAGACUUAGAAUCUUUUUUUUUUUUUUUUUUUUAAGACUUAGAAUCUUGACUGGAGGUAAUGGAGAGGUUCCUCCAUUGGAGGAAUCUCCAAUGGAGAUUUUGGAGGGUUAUAAGCAAUGGGAUUUUUAACAUGGCAGGUAAGCCUGAGUAGAAUAGGGACAGAUACUCCAUUAAGGAGAUUAUUGGAAUAGUUCAGAUGAAAAAUAAUAGGACUAAACCUAGACGGUGGGGUGAGAGGAAAGAGCAAGAAGAGGUAUUUAGGAGGUUGGUUCAUUAAGUUUUGGGAACCAAAUGGCGAAUCACAAAUGUCUGUUAGGUAUCUUAUUUGGGGUUCUGGGUGGAGAACGAUACCAAUUUCUGUAAUCAGAGAGAAAUAAGAGAGGGUAGGAAUUUGAUAUGGGAGAUGCCUUUAGGCAGGUCCUAUAAUAGAGGUCCAAGUAGACAGUUUGGCUUAUGAAUCUGGGGCAGAAUAAAGAGAUCUGGCCUAGAAAUUUGGAACUCAAGCAGAGCCUGUCCGUGUCCUACCCAUAUUUCUUUGCGUCUUACUGCAUCCUGACCCAUCUCUUCGUUGCCAGUUACUGCCCCCUAAGUCGACUGUCCUUGUGCUCAUGGCAAGCUGGAAGUGCUAAAGAUUUAAUGUCUCCUGGGAGUUAACCCUCAUGCAGCAACUCUCAGGAGUUGUGGAUAAAUACCCCAGCUCAUUUGUCCCUUGAGUAGAACAUUUCUAGAGUGUGUCUUACACCAUUUCCUAGAGCUCCCCAGCAGGACUUAACUCUUUUGCCCAUUGUGGUACUUUGCUUGAUAAUGUUCACUUUAUUAACUCCCUUGUCUUUCUUGUCUUCCUUGCUUCCCUAAUGAUGUUUCCUAAUGAUGUUGGCAUUACCUCCAAAAUAAACUACUUCUGUUUAAAUCCUUGUCUCAGGAUCUGCUUCUCAGGAAAUCCAAACUAAGAUAAGCAGUAAUGGGCAUAGAGGAAAAGUUGACUGGUUGACUACAUUUGGAAAACAGCUUAUUUUUACAGGUUUUACAAAAACAUACAAUUAUUAGAACAUGAUGCCUGAAACCUUUCCAGGGUCCUGGACAAGAAGCUCUAUAAAUGAAUGUGUAUGUGUGUGUGUGUGUGUGUCUGUGUGUGUGUGUUUUCAUGAGAAAACAUGAGAUUUGAGAUUUCAUGAGAUUUGACCUUUUAUACCAUACUUAACACUGGUUAAAUAGCCUUGGUGAGCUGGUUGUCUUCAUCUUUGAUGCUAAAAUUUGAAGUUUAGCGUAGCUGGCAAUUGGAAAGAGA